This 778-nucleotide ribosomal RNA is filed under the name Mononchoides cf. americanus Japan. Its description in RNAcentral is "eukaryotic LSU rRNA". It matches the Rfam family "Eukaryotic large subunit ribosomal RNA", at positions 357 to 962 of the family's 3401-position model. Lineage: Eukaryota; Metazoa; Nematoda; Chromadorea; Rhabditida; Neodiplogasteridae. The record is from RNAcentral.
GGGAAAGUUGAAAAGAACUUUGAAGAGAGAGUUCAAGAGGACGUGAAACCACUAGUGGCGAAGCGGAUAGAGUUGACGAAACUGGUGCAAUCAGUGUUGGGUGUCACUGUGUUGCUGCUGUGUCUGGGCUCUGCGGUCUGCGGAGUGAGGCGUGGUAGUGAUGCGGCCCGGCAUGCAUUUGCGACCGGUAGCGCUGAGGCGCUAGAUGGCCCCUGGCGAAACUGCGGGUGUUGCCCACUCUCGGGUGGUGUCUUGUCCGUGGUGGAGGCUUGUUUGUGGCCGUUUAGUGUUGCGAAAGCGCGCGCUCUGCGUCUGUGCGGUAGCUGUGUUACGUGCGUUCGUGUAAUGCGGUGACUUGUCACUUGUGUUGCAUGUUGCGUAUGUGUUCACUCUAUUGCGUUGAGUGCGUUCUCGGUGGAAAAGUCGACCACCUAUCCGACCCGUCUUGAAACACGGACCAAGAAGUGUAGUAAUUGCGCGAGUCAUUGGGUGUUAAACCUAUUGGCGUAAUGAAAGUAAAGCUGGCCUUGCGUCAGUGAUAUGCGAUCCGUGUGUCUUCGGACAUGCGGCGCAGCAUAGCCCCAUGCCAGUUGCUUGCAACGGUGUGGAGGUAGAGCGUAAUUACUGCGACCCGAAAGAUGGUGAACUAUGCCCGAGCAGGAUGAAGCCAGAGGAAACUCUGGUGGAAGUCCGAAGCGGUUCUGACGUGCAAAUCGAUCGUCUGACUUGGGUAUAGGGGCGAAAGACUAAUCGAACCAUCUAGUAGCUGGUUCCUUCC